UCACCACCGAGCCCCCGUCGUGCUUAUGAUUGGCGGCGGCCCGUGGGGAAGACCGGUGGGAGUCCGGGGCUGUCCCGCAACUGUGAGGCUCGUGGUGAGCCGAAGCCAGAUACCCGCGGUGCCGCUGUUCGACGA
RNAcentral lists this non-coding RNA (135 nucleotides) under Nocardia farcinica. The record is from RNAcentral. Lineage: Bacteria; Bacillati; Actinomycetota; Actinomycetes; Mycobacteriales; Nocardiaceae.